Long non-coding RNA from Amphibalanus amphitrite, 642 nucleotides. RefSeq lists it as uncharacterized. NCBI's taxonomy places the organism in Eukaryota, Metazoa, Arthropoda, Thecostraca, Balanomorpha, Balanidae. The record is from RefSeq and is a predicted model, not a curated record. The transcript has 2 exons.
UGCCGCCAAUUUCUCGGCAUUUCCAGCGGUUCAAACGUUUCUUCUGGGUUUUAGGCAAUUGCCUGGGUUUCCGUUAUUUGAAAAAAAAGGUGUUAAAUCGCCAGAUCAAUCUAGUGGAAGGGGUGAGUCGGCCAGUGAUUUCGAGAUGAGUGCGACACCUACGUGCAUCAACGUUUAGUGGACCUAAAGGACAUCGUCAGCACCGAGAUUUGCCAGCUGGAAACGCAGUGGGGCUACACGCAAUGGAGGCACGCGUACCACUCGUCCUAGACAAAGAAACGUCCUCCGUGCUUCCGACGAACUUCAAUCGGCGCGAAAUUCCUAAACCUCGAGUCACGAGUUCAUUCAGAGUAAAAUAGCAUGCCGAGGAAAAAUCACUGUUCGGGACGAAAAGUGGAGUUCAGUAAUUUAGAUAAAGCCGGCCGUCACAAAAGCAUAUUUUUCUUGUUUUUGCCCUCCUGCCAUGGAUUUCCUCGGCCUCCAAAGCGGGAUGCAGCUGCGACUGCUACUUCUAAAGUGUGUAAAAGUAAUGAACCUAUAGGACGAUAAGUCGUGAUCUCGAUUAACUUCGCCACGAGGUUGCGAACUUAAUGAAAAUGUUCCUGUCGGUGUUCUUGUUGUCCAUGAUCGGCCCGUUUUUUU